Molecule: transfer RNA, 64 nt
Filed under: Astratotermes hilarus
Lineage: Eukaryota; Metazoa; Arthropoda; Insecta; Blattodea; Termitidae
Description: tRNA-Thr
Rfam family: tRNA
About the family: Transfer RNA (tRNA) molecules are approximately 80 nucleotides in length.
Source: RNAcentral
GUUUUAAUAAUUUAACAAAAAUAUUGGUCUUGUAAACCAAAAAUAAGGAACCCCUUUUAAAACU